RNAcentral lists this unclassified non-coding RNA (348 nucleotides) under soil metagenome. RNAcentral's name for it is "partial contains 5.8S ribosomal RNA, internal transcribed spacer 2, and large subunit ribosomal RNA". The stretch from base 1 to 120 matches the Rfam family "5.8S ribosomal RNA", at positions 35 to 154 of the family's 154-position model. The record is from RNAcentral.
GAUGAAGAACGCAGCGAAAUGCGAUAAGUAAUGUGAAUUGCAGAAUUCAGUGAAUCAUCGAAUCUUUGAACGCACAUUGCGCCCGCCAGUAUUCUGGCGGGCAUGCCUGUCUGAGCGUCAUUUCAACCCUCAUGCCCCUAGGGCGUGGUGUUGGGGAUCGGCCAAAGCCCGCGAGGGACGGCCGGCCCCUAAAUCUAGUGGCGGACCCGUCGUGGCCUCCUCUGCGAAGUAGUGAUAUUCCGCAUCGGAGAGCGAUGAGCCCCUGCCGUUAAACCCCCAACUUUCCAAGGUUGACAUCAGAUCAGGUAGGAAUACCCGCUGAACUUAAGCAUAUCAAUAAGCGGAGGA